AGUUGUGCGCGAUCUAUACGCGAGUAUUCUACCUCUCGGAUCGUAAAACUUUCAGGGUCGUCUUCGUUGGCGUUUCGGCGCGGCAAGUUCCGCGUUCGCGGAAAAUCUCUAGUCGACCGCGUUCGUCGAGUAGUCGAUCGUGUUCGCUCGAAGCAACGAUUUCGCGAGCCGCGCACGCGCGUCGUUCGUACGUCGAAUCUUCGAGUCACCGGUAAACAGCACCUUAUACGGCACAAAUAUUCUCGUGGCUCCUCGUCAUCGUGCAUUUCUUACUCUCAUCGACGAAUGAUCAGCUCGUAACAUCCUCCGAGAGAAAUCUACGGCUCGCUCGCGCGCAUCUCUGCUCUCCCCUUUGACGUAGCAUCGAUACACUCGACCUUAGCUCUCCGAGAACUCAGAACGAGCCAACGAGAGACGCGGAAAGAUGAGAAGAAGCACGAGCCAGACGGAUAUCGAAGGUUUACGCACAGUUACGGAGGAAUGAUUUGCAAAGAGCUAACGCGAAGGACCAAGACUUCCACAUUCGUAGAGGAAAAACGGCGAAACGUCGACGACGUUCGAGAAGACUGAUUUCCAUUCCAUCGUGCACCAUGGAUAACCAUGCCACUGGAUAAGCCCGAUUUUCCCUGAGAAAUAAUUUUUCACUUUUAAUAGUUUUCUGCAACGUCGCGUCAAUAAUUUGCACCGAGAAAAAACCUUCGUCGUUUCUCGUGAAUGAUUUCGUAACAGUUUCUGCUCGGAUCAGCUCUGAUCGACGCAAAUGCGCAAUGUUUGCGAGAAAAAUUACCGCGCGUAUUGCGAUUAACUUACAUAUCGCGGCGAUUUAAUUGCAAAUUACGUCAUGUAUAUGUUC
Molecule: long non-coding RNA, 853 nt
Filed under: Eufriesea mexicana
Lineage: Eukaryota; Metazoa; Arthropoda; Insecta; Hymenoptera; Apidae
Description: uncharacterized LOC108555894, transcript variant X2
Source: RNAcentral